RNAcentral lists this ribosomal RNA (472 nucleotides) under uncultured bacterium. RNAcentral describes it as "bacterial SSU rRNA". It matches the Rfam family "Bacterial small subunit ribosomal RNA", at positions 34 to 507 of the family's 1533-position model. The record is from RNAcentral.
CGCUGGCGGCAUGCCUAACACAUGCAAGUCGAACGGAGAAUCGCUUCGGUGAUUCUUAGUGGCGAACGGGUGAGUAACGCGUGAGGAACCUGCCUUCCAGUGGGGGACAACAGUUGGAAACGACUGCUAAUACCGCAUAACAUUCACGGACCGCAUGAUCUGUGAAUCAAAGCUUUAUGUGCUGGAAGAUGGCCUCGCGUCUGAUUAGCUAGUUGGUGGGGUAACGGCCCACCAAGGCGACGAUCAGUAGCCGGUCUGAGAGGAUGAACGGCCACAUUGGGACUGAGAUACGGCCCAGACUCCUACGGGAGGCAGCAGUGAGGAAUAUUGGUCAAUGGGCGAGAGCCUGAACCAGCCAAGUCGCGUGAGGGAUGACGGUCCUACGGAUUGUAAACCUCUUUUGUCGGGGAGCAAGAGCUCUACGUGUAGAGUAGUGAGAGUACCCGAAGAAAAAGCAUCGGCUAACUCCGUG